This 456-nucleotide small RNA is filed under the name Pan troglodytes (chimpanzee). RNAcentral's name for it is "processed transcript". The record is from RNAcentral. Lineage: Eukaryota; Metazoa; Chordata; Mammalia; Primates; Hominidae.
UGCCUCUUGCUCUGUCCGCAUCCCCGGCUUAGGGUGAAAGAAAUCACUACUUCAAUACUGCUGCUAAGCCUAUGUGAUCAUUCUAAGCUGACGGCCCAGAGGGUGGGUGCCAAUUCCACCAGCAGCUGCAACUGAAAAGCAAGGUUCAGAAAUGUCAGAUAUCCUCCGGGAGCUGCUCUGUGUCUCUGAGAAGGCUGCUAACAUUGCCCGGGCGUGCAGACAGCAGGAAGCCCUCUUCCAGCUGCUGAUCGAAGAAAAGAAAGAGGGAGAAAAGAACAAGAAGUUUGCAGUUGACUUCAAGACGCUGGCUGAUGUACUGGUACAGGAAGUUAUAAAACAGAAUAUGGAGAACAAGUUUCCAGGCUUGGAAAAAAAUAUUUUUGGAGAAGAAUCCAAUGAGUUUACUAAUGACUGGGCCUCUUCCCUCACUUCUGUCAAGGGCUGAAACCAGAUUAA